RNAcentral lists this ribosomal RNA (208 nucleotides) under uncultured bacterium. RNAcentral's name for it is "partial 16S ribosomal RNA". It matches the Rfam family "Bacterial small subunit ribosomal RNA", at positions 29 to 253 of the family's 1533-position model. The record is from RNAcentral.
AAUGAACGUUGGCGGCGUGGAUUAGGCAUGCAAGUCGCGCGAUAAGAGUAGCAAUACUCGGACAGCGGCGAAAGGGAGAGUAAUACAUAGGUACGUACCCUUGGGACUGGGAUAGCGGCGGGAAACUGCCGGUAAUACCAGAUGACGUUUCCGAACCAAAGGUGUGAAUCCGCCUGAGGAGCGGCCUAUGUCCUAUUAGCUUGUUGGU